This 420-nucleotide ribosomal RNA is filed under the name uncultured bacterium. Its description in RNAcentral is "bacterial SSU rRNA". It matches the Rfam family "Bacterial small subunit ribosomal RNA", at positions 917 to 1341 of the family's 1533-position model. The record is from RNAcentral.
GGGCCCGCACAAGCGGUGGAGCAUGUGGUUUAAUUCGAUGCAACGCGAAGAACCUUACCAGGGCUUGACAUACUGCAGAUCUUUUUGAGAAAGAAGAGUGCCUUCGGGAAUGCAGAUACAGGUGGUGCAUGGCUGUCGUCAGCUCGUGUCGUGAGAUGUUGGGUUAAGUCCCGCAACGAGCGCAACCCUUAUUUUUAGUUACCAACUUGUUGGGUUCUCUAGAAAGACUGCCGGUGACAAACCGGAGGAAGGUGAGGAUGACGUCAAGUCAGCAUGCCCCUUAUGUCCUGGGCUACACACGUGCUACAAUGGUUAAGACAAAGAGUCGCGAGUUCGUGAGAACCAGCUAAUCUCGUAAACUUAGCCUAAGUUCAGAUUGUAGGCUGCAACUCGCCUACAUGAAGUUGGAAUCGCUAGUAA